Molecule: long non-coding RNA, 981 nt
Organism: Tupaia belangeri chinensis (Chinese tree shrew)
Lineage: Eukaryota; Metazoa; Chordata; Mammalia; Scandentia; Tupaiidae
Exons: 4
Source: RefSeq, a predicted model, not a curated record
CCUCUUCCUGAGGCCUACGUGGAGCUCUCGACGUGGAGUCCGGGCGUUGGACCUUACCCAUGGGAAGGAAGGCAAGACAAAAGUCUGCAGCUGCCAGGAAGUCCAAGCACAGGAAGUUGUGGGGUGGAGUCUUGGUACCCUCCCAAUGUGGGCGGGACUAUAGGAAGCCACCAGCAGAGAAAGUACUGGGCCUGAGGCUAUAAUUCUCUUUCUGUACCCCUUAGAGCAUGAGGGAGGCUGUCACGUGGUGUUCCCAUGCUCUGGGCCUGGGCCCUUUUUGGUAGCAGAGUCAGAGUGCAGAGGAGAGAACAAUACCAGGACUCCAUUUGCUUGAUAGUGGUCUCAGGUAAAACUAAAUUGCUUGGAGGUAGUAAGGCCUUGAAGAGAAGUGGAACCACCCAUCCAAGCCAAGAAGGGUUAGCACUUCUAGGAAGACACACUGCGCACAAACAGAUGAGGACCAAAAACAAAUGAAGAGGAUUGAAGAUGAACCCACAUUUUAAGUCUUUGUCUACCGGAGGUGGCAUUACGUGUGACCUCGCUUCACUUCUUCAUACAUAGCAGAAAAUCCACUUUCUGAAGCAUCCUUAAUAUGAAAAGAUUUGUUUGAUAUGAGACCUGAAAAAUCUAUGAUAGAAGGAAGCAACUCAAACUACAAGGAUAUUCCACAUAUAUCAUAAUAUGAACAGGUGGCCAAAAACAGGUGUUAUUUGGAAGAAAAACCUCUUUCUAGAAUGAAGUGUAAAGAAAUUUUCAGCUGGAAAAACUAUAUAUUGAUAUAGAAGCACCCAUUUCCAUAUUAGAUGUUACAGAAGACUUUGUAUAAAAUGAUUCCAAGUAUGGGUCAAAUUAAAAUUGAGGUGAAACAAAUAUGCAUAUGUAUGUGUAUAACAUGUAGUGUUUUUUAUAUAUGCUAUUAAUAAAAUCUAUAAACAGGGUGGGACCAGCAGUUAGCAUAGUGGCUAUGUCGCUGAACUCCCA